Molecule: ribosomal RNA, 490 nt
Filed under: uncultured bacterium
Lineage: Bacteria
Description: partial 16S ribosomal RNA
Rfam family: Bacterial small subunit ribosomal RNA
Source: RNAcentral
GUGAACGCUGGCGGUAGGCCUAACCCCUGCAAGUCGAACGGCAGCACAGUAAGAGCUUGCUCUUACGGGUGGCGAGUGGCGGACGGGUGAGGAAUACAUCGGAAUCUACUUUUUCGUGGGGGAUAACGUAGGGAAACUUACGCUAAUACCGCAUACGACCUACGGGUGAAAGCAGGGGAUCUUCGGACCUUGCGCGAUUGAAUGAGCCGAUGUCGGAUUAGCUAGUUGGCGGGGUAAAGGCCCACCAAGGCGACGAUCCGUAGCUGGUCUGAGAGGAUGAUCAGCCACACUGGAACUGAGACACGGUCCAGACUCCUACGGGAGGCAGCAGUGGGGAAUGUUGGACAAUGGGCGCAAGCCUGAUCCAGCCAUACCGCGUGGGUGAAGAAGGCCUUCGGGUUGUAAAGCCCUUUUGUUGGGAAAGAAAAGCAGCAGGUUAAUACCCUGCUGUUCUGAGGGUACCCAAAGAAUAAGCACCGGCUAACUUCGU